RNA transcript from Hypomesus transpacificus, 1894 nucleotides. It is a transcript of the gene named transmembrane protein 230a, with no coding region annotated. The transcript has 5 exons. The record is from RefSeq and is a predicted model, not a curated record. Lineage: Eukaryota; Metazoa; Chordata; Actinopteri; Osmeriformes; Osmeridae.
CCACGCGCCUGCGCAGUGGGUGUAUUCACAAAAGAGGAACGUAGUCGACACAAACAUGUUAGCUAGCCUACCUAGCUAGCUGGAUCUAGCCUCUUAUCGUCGACUAACGCUCACUUUGUAUUUGUUUGUCACUGCAAUGGUCAAACAAUCAGUUUGAGGGAUUUGAGCACUUGGGUCAAUGCUAUUUGCAACAAAAUAGUAUUCAGCUGAUUUUUUGUUAUGAUGCCUGCACGCCUCAAUGUGUCCGUCGGUGGGUUACCCAGCAACAAAGUCAAGUACUCCAGAUUGGCCGACAGUGAGGAUGGCUACAUUGACUUGCAGUUUAAGAAAAGCCCUCCGAAAGUACCAUACAAGGCCAUCGCCCUGGCAACGUUUCUCUUCCUGAUUGGCUCCUUCCUGAUCAUAAUUGGCUCUCUACUUUUGUCCGGGUCUAUAAAAGUUGAGUACCCGGACCGCACGAUCCCUGUUCUGAUAAUCGGAGUUCUCGUCUUCCUGCCUGGGUUCUAUCACCUGCGAAUCGCGUACUACGCCUCCAAGGGUUACCGAGGUUACUCCUAUGAUGACAUCCCGGAUUUUGACGACUGAGCCAAUCAUAAGUCGGUAUGGGUCAGAUCGCCGGCCAAUCAAACGGUCGCCGGGCGGGUCGAUUCGCUCCGUUGCAUGAGACUGUCCUCUGCUGUUUACAGUCAAUGUUUCCUGGUGUGGGAAACUGCAUCACAAAGUGGCUUAACUUGACUAGCUCAUGGUUUUAAUGCCAAGUCAAAACAUGGAACCCUAUCUUUGGCUUUAAUGGUGCAUUAUACAGCCCUAUGCUGAUAUUUUCUUUAUUUUCAUGAAAGUAACUGAAAAAUGCCUGCUGUAUCUUGCUGCUACUUUACAUUUUUACCUCAUCAUAAUUAUCCACAAGUGUCAUGAAUAUGAUUAACUCAUAUGGUGGUUACAAGCUUCAAGGAGCUAUAGUAUAGGCUAAGGAAGAGUUAUACUAAUUAAAUGUUAGUAUAAUAUGACAUUGUGCAAUCUAUUUAUGUUAUGACAUUGCAGUAUGCAACGCCUUUCAAGUGUACACUAAAAACAGAAGAUGGUUUGCACUCACUUUAUCGGCUUCAUGCAAACCAAGUGUUGGGUUUGGUUUUGCUUUAGAACAGGGGUGUCGAGCUCCGGUCCUCGAGGGCCGCUGUCCUGCAUGUUUUAGAUGUUGGAGCUCGACACCCCUGCUUUAGAAUAACUAUUUGGUUCAGUCGAGAGUACUACAUCAUACUCCAGAUUUUGAACACAGCAUUCAUUAGAAUGCACACUCAAUCAAUAGUAUUUUGAGACGGACAAAAUAUAUGUCCAAGUACGUCCCCUUGUGGUUUCAACGGGGAACGAAAAUCCUCAAAAACGGCCCUCAUCAAAGAUCAAGAUAUUUCUUGAGGACAGCCCAAAGUGAUUGAGAGUAAGUCAAAAUGUUGACCCUGGUCAAUGAUUUAGGAACCAACAACAUUUCACACAGAAGUAUGGAAAUAUGAUGGUGGAGGACAGAGGAAUAGAGAGAGAUGAUUGGUCACCCAGGAGUGGAAUUGAGAGGGGUGAGGUGCGCGAGCAGGAAGCCUCGAGGCAUCAAGUGCGUCGCGAGUGGUUUUGUUACAACCGUGAAGGAAAUCAACGAAUCCUAAUGGAGUAACUUGUUGAUUCAAAGAGAAACUACAUAGACGUCAAACUACAAAAGGGCUUCAAUUUACCAUUCACACUCAUUCGAAACUUUUUUUUAAAGCGAGUGGUCAGAUAAAAAAAACACAAAACGACACGACAGCCUGAUAUUGGAUAUUGCAACGGGAGUCUCGCCGUUCAACUUGCAGAGUGGAUGCUCUUUAAAUGGACGGACCUCCAACUCUUGUUUUCUGAAGUGUAAACA